RNAcentral lists this ribosomal RNA (509 nucleotides) under uncultured bacterium. Its description in RNAcentral is "bacterial SSU rRNA". It matches the Rfam family "Bacterial small subunit ribosomal RNA", at positions 28 to 527 of the family's 1533-position model. The record is from RNAcentral.
GACGAACGCUGGCGGCGUGGAUUAGGCAUGCAAGUCGAACGGUAUCAUCCUUUCGGGGGUGAGAGAGUGGCGAACUGGUGAGUAACACGUAGGUUAUCUACCCUCAAGACGGGGACAACCCAGGGAAACUUGGGCUAAUACCGGAUGUGAGCAACUUUUAGUUGUUUGAAAGGUGGCGUAAGCUGUCGCUUGGGGAUGAGCCUGCGUCCUAUUAGUUAGUUGGUAGAGGUAACGGCUCACCUAGGCAAUGAUAGGUAGGCGGCCUUAACGGGUGGUCGCCCACACUGGGAUUGAGAUACGGCCCAGACUCCUACGGGAGGCAGCAGUCGAGAAUAGUCUACAAUGGUCGGAAGACUGAUAGUGCGACGCCGCGUGAACGAUGAAUCCCUUCGGGGUGUAAAGUUCUUUUAUAUGUGAGCAGUGCUUCUUAUAUUAACAGUAUGGGGAGAGAGAUAUUAGCAUAUGAAUAAGCAACGGCUAACUCCGUGCCAGCAGCCGCGGUAAACUCG